CCCACCCAACAAGCCUGGAGGUGAUUCUCAACAAAUACAAACAAAAAGAUAAACUAAGUCAGCCGGUCUUCCGGAAUGAGGGUCUUCAGGUAAUGACACUGAUCUAUCAACAGUGAGCAUUCUGAACAAUCUGGUAGGGGAGUGAUCUUCUCUUUCAACUGUCUUCUCAGCUCCAAGACUUCUCCUCCCAGAUACUCCUCUGACUUCUGUC
This 211-nucleotide long non-coding RNA is filed under the name Lathyrus oleraceus (garden pea). RNAcentral's name for it is "Pisum sativum (pea) long non-coding RNA (PSAT_LNC001370)". Lineage: Eukaryota; Viridiplantae; Streptophyta; Magnoliopsida; Fabales; Fabaceae. The record is from RNAcentral.